Molecule: ribosomal RNA, 267 nt
Filed under: uncultured bacterium
Lineage: Bacteria
Description: partial 16S ribosomal RNA
Rfam family: Bacterial small subunit ribosomal RNA
Source: RNAcentral
UACGAAGGGGGGCUAGCGUUGUUCGGAAUUACUGGGCGUAAAGCGCACGUAGGCGGAUAUUUAAGUCAGGGGUGAAAUCCCGGGGCUCAACCCCGGAACGGCCUUUGAUACUGGAUGUCUUGAGUCCGGAAGAGGUGAGUGGAAUUGCGAGUGUAGAGGUGAAAUUCGUAGAUAUUCGCAGGAACACCAGUGGCGAAGGCGGCUCACUGGUCCGGAACUGACGCUGAGGUGCGAAAGCGUGGGGAGCAAACAGGAGUUAGAAACCCU